Long non-coding RNA from Saccostrea cuccullata (small rock oyster), 1496 nucleotides. RefSeq lists it as uncharacterized. The transcript has 6 exons. The record is from RefSeq and is a predicted model, not a curated record. NCBI's taxonomy places the organism in Eukaryota, Metazoa, Mollusca, Bivalvia, Ostreida, Ostreidae.
AGAUCAAUUGAGGGAGGAAGAGACAGAAACAGAAUUGAUGUCCAAAGGACAAAAGAAACCAAAGACAAUUGCAAAUCCUGAAAAGCUACUGAUAAAAAAGAGAAAGAGAGCUUCCCCAGACGCAAAUCAAAAGGAUGAUGAAAUGAAGGAAAAAAGAAAAGAGAUGGCCCUAGAGAAAAAAAGGAAAAAACAGGCUGUGGCAGCUGCAGCACAGGAUAUCGCUGCCAAACUGUAUUCUAAGGCUAAUAUGCAUAGUUGUCUGAUGGUGGGAACCUUCCUUCUUCGUCAAAAGUAAUGAAAAAACACAAGCCAAAGACCAGACCCAGCAUUGAGUGGGCAGACUAUUAUGAGCUGAAAAAUGAGGAAAGCCCAAGAGAGGGUUAUUGCCUUUUGGCACCCGGAGCAACUAUUGCGGUAUCUUCCCUAUGGUUGCAUUCUAUGUUGUCAUCGCUCUCGAAGAAGAAGAAACAAAAAAAGUCGACAGGAUUCGACAUCCUUAAAAGAUUGAUGGACGGUUUCUAUGAACCCUGGGAUCUGGCUGUGAAGGGUGGCAUAACCCCCUUCAAGGAUUCCCCUAUAUAUAAAUCCUUGAGAUGCUAUGCAGAACAUAAAUUAAACAUGGAUCUUCCAUCUUUCAAUCGUGCCUGGAUGGAGAAGAUGUCAGCCUCCAGAUUAACAAUGAAAAGGGUUGAAAAGAAAAACAAUGAUACAGUUUCUUCAUCAGACCAAUAAUUCUGCAUAUUGUCAGUCUCAAUUCCCUUGUAAAUUCUUAUUUUAGUCUCUUGGUUCCAGUAUUAUCCUAGGACAUUUCAAUUAGUUCAAUUAGUUCUACUUAUUUAAGUUGAUGGUUUUAAAUGCACCAAGUAGUUUUUGUAGGUUUAUGCUUUUUGUAAUCCACAAAUAGUUGUUCGUAAAAGUAUCUUGCAUAAUAUUAGUAUUAAUUAUAUUAGAUAUUCAUUAGAAAAUAUUUUGCAAAGGAAUAGUUGAUGCAUAUUUUUACUAUUGUUAAAUAAUUGUUGUGCUCAAUGCAUAAGAUGUUCUGUUUUCACUUUUUUUUUUGCACCUAUUCUGUUUUAAUUACUUUUUUUAUUAAGUUUACAAAAUGAAAUUGUUUUGCAUAUAUUGUAAAUAAUUCAUUCCAAGUGUUUUUUAGAAGUGAUUUGUAAACAAUUUUUUCAAAAUGAUUUGGUUGUGAUUUAUUCAUGAUGAUUUGGAAGUGAUUUGUUAAAGAGAAGUGAUUUGUAAACGAUUUAUUCCGAGUGAUUUGGUAGUGAUUUGUUAAAGAGAAGUGAUUUGUAAACGAUUUAUUCCGAGUGAUUUGGUAGUGAUUUGUUAAAGAGAAGUGAUUUGUAAACGAUUUAUUCCGAGUGAUUUUGAAGUGAUUUGUUAAGAAGAAGUGAUUUGUACACGAUUUAUUCAGAGUGAUUUUGAAGUGAUUUGUUAAAGAGAAGUGAUUUGUAAACGAUUUCUUCCGAGUGAUUUGGUUGUGAUUUGUU